RNAcentral lists this ribosomal RNA (404 nucleotides) under uncultured bacterium. Its description in RNAcentral is "bacterial SSU rRNA". It matches the Rfam family "Bacterial small subunit ribosomal RNA", at positions 100 to 518 of the family's 1533-position model. The record is from RNAcentral.
CGGGUAGGACGUAAACGCGUGGGUAACCUGCCUCAUACAGGGGGAUAACAGUUAGAAAUGACUGCUAACACCGCAUAAUAUAGUGAAACCGCAUGAUUUUUGCUAUCAAAUAUUUAUAGGUAUGAGAUGGGCCCGCGUCUGAUUAGCUAGUUGGUGGGGUAAAAGCCUACCAAGGCGACGAUCAGUAGCCGGCUUGAGAGAGUGACCGGCCACAUUGGGACUGAGACACGGCCCAAACUCCUACGGGAGGCAGCAGUGGGGAAUAUUGGACAAUGGGGGAAACCCUGAUCCAGCGAACCGCCGCGUGAGUGAAGAAGUAUUUCGGUAUGUAAAGCUCUAUCAGCAGGGAAGAUAAUGACAGUACCUGACUAAGAAGCCCCGGCCAACUACGUGCCAGCCGCUGC